GAUGAAGAACGUAGCGAAAUGCGAUAAGUAAUGUGAAUUGCAGAAUUCAGCGAAUCAUCGAAUCUUUGAACGCACAUUGCGCCCGCCAGUAUUCUGGCGGGCAUGCCUGUUCGAGCGUCAUUUCAACCAUCAAGCCCCAGGCUUGUGUUGGAGCCCUGCGGCUGCCGCAGCCUCCCAAAACCAGUGGCGGGCUCGCUAUCACACCGAGUGCAGUAGUUUACUCUUCGCUCAGGGCGUGUGGCGGGUGCUAGCCGUAAAACCCCCAACUUCUCAAGGUUGACCUCGGAUCAGGUAGGAAUACCCGCUGAACUUAAGCAUAUCAAUAAGCGGAGGA
This 334-nucleotide unclassified non-coding RNA is filed under the name soil metagenome. Its description in RNAcentral is "partial contains 5.8S ribosomal RNA, internal transcribed spacer 2, and large subunit ribosomal RNA". The stretch from base 1 to 120 matches the Rfam family "5.8S ribosomal RNA", at positions 35 to 154 of the family's 154-position model. The record is from RNAcentral.